GUGCUAGUUGAAAUUAUAUGCCUGCUUCAGAUAUAAUAUUUAUAUUUAACCAGUGACUUCUAAAUUAAGAGGACGAGAACCAUUUAUAUCCCGAAUCACGGCAACUGAUUACAAUCAUACAAAAUGUUUCUUUUUAUCUGGAGCUAAAUAUCUGCUAUUGAUACAGUUCAUUACUUUUAAGAACAAUUUAAAGAAAAUAAUUAAUUAAGGCUGUAAAAUGUGUGGAUUCAAAGACGUGCGAUUAGACGUCUGUACAUGGAGUCAUGAGCUAAUAAUAGUUUCUGAUAUUUAAAACAACAGGGCUACGUUUAUACUAUACUUUGUUUUUAUAGUUUAGCUAAGUUUCAGAGGCCUCCAUUAAAUAACAGUCAAGAUAUACACGCAAAUAUAAUUUGCUUGUCUAUAUUUAAAAUUUGUAAUUGUUUCGUGAAGAUUCAACCAUAAAACAAUUGCCGGAAAUGCAAGCCCUGAUUAUAAAAACUCAGGGAAAACCCCAACCUCGUUCCCAGGUAUGAAAUGCGUGGCGUAAACAUGUCAAUCAAAUAUCAUUCUAUAAAUAUGACGUUUUAUAUUUGCACAGUACAUCGUGUACGUUUUUGUUGUAGAACUUGUGUUGUUCAAAUCGAAUAUGAAGUAAAAUCAGGAGCAUAUUGUCACAGGCUAAUUUUGUAUUUUAAUACCCUCUGGAAAUACCAAGGCUUUGGUACCCCUAUCUAUCACAAAAUGUAACAAAUCCAAAACAAAGUAUGAGGACUAAUAUUUUUCCUAUCAUUUGACAGAUUAAAAGUAUUAUUCAAGAAAUAUGUCCAUUUUAAUCAUAACGUGAUACAAAAAUACUAAAUAACAUGCAAAAUUCAGUGCCAAAGAGGGAUUUAUUUGGCGGUAGUUAAAUUAAAUAUGUAAACAUAAUAUGUUCUCAAACUGGCACAGUUUAAUACCAAUUGGCAAUUAAAGCUCGCAAUGCUAUAUAUUUGGUUUGAUACGAAGAUAAAAUAGUAAAUACUCAUAAUAAUUACAAUAUGUCCAUGACCUAAUUACUCAAAAAUUUAGAUUAUUAAAUCACAUAAUGGAACAACUUGCAAUUUGCUACGCUCACUCGUUAGCAAUAUUCUCUUCAACACUCGAAAUAAAUUACAUAUUUCCGCACAACCAUGUAUAAAUAUUCUCUAUACAUUCCAGUUUACCUUUAAUUUGUCAAGUGGUAGGCAAGAUAUUAGUCCUUUUGAUUUGUUAUUCUCUUGACCCAUCACGGAAGUGAUAGGAACUUGAAAAAAUGACAGUUGCAUACUUGCGUGUAAUUUGCUCGGAACAAUUUGCAAUCAACAUUGCAAGAUUGAUUGCAAUGUUGCAAUACUCAUGGGAACAAACAUCCGGUUUGACUGUAGUUUUGACUAUAGAUCAGUGCAAGACUGCUAUAGAAGAAGAUUUUAUCAAAAUAAAGUCAGGAUAAAGUCUAUUAAUACCACGAUUAAUACUAAUACUUCUCUUGAAAGCUUUUCGAAAGACGCCAUCUUGUUUUAAAGCUGUUCUAGCCUGCGAACAGGUCUUCAAAACAAGGCUG
Molecule: non-coding RNA, 1561 nt
Organism: Paramuricea clavata
Lineage: Eukaryota; Metazoa; Cnidaria; Anthozoa; Malacalcyonacea; Plexauridae
Source: the annotation of a GenBank genome assembly